AGUUUUUGAAACUUAAAUCGAAUGACUUUCAAACAUGGAAUAUUCAAACUGAAUAAUUUAAUUUAUCAAUCAUUUAUGUUCUUGCAUCUUCUUUUUAACUAAAUCAUAUAAUAAGCAUAUUAGAUAUUACAGUUGUUUUCUCUUUACUGACAGGGGAUAGCCGGAUAGUCCAGGGAGUUGUUGAGUUGGGUUGUUGAGAAUGUGUCUGUUUUCAAAUGCCACUCUGUCCAACUUGCUUUCCACCCACUGGGGCACUGACUUCACAUGGAUUUUUUAAAUAUCGUCCCGACAUAAUUACAUCAGUGUUCUAAAUCCAAAAUUAUAUUAGAAUCUAUUUGGGAAAAAAUCAAUGAAAAUAAAUCAGUCUAACUAUGAUAACCAAUGAACCCGGCCGGGUUCAAUACUCGUUAAUAUGAAAUAUUUAUGAAUAUAUCUAUACAAUUAAUCAAUUAUGCAUUUAAUUGAUCGAAUUUGAUAAUAAUCCUAGCUUAUUCAGAUACCCAAAACAUUCCUCUUCCUUCUGCAGUGAGCCAGUGACCUAGUGCUAGUGGGGAUCUUCGAAGAAAAGCAAUAAUUAAGAAAAGAAAGAAAGAAAAAAAGUCG
Molecule: long non-coding RNA, 603 nt
Filed under: Zostera marina
Lineage: Eukaryota; Viridiplantae; Streptophyta; Magnoliopsida; Alismatales; Zosteraceae
Description: long non-coding RNA (ZMAR_LNC002323)
Source: RNAcentral